Molecule: ribosomal RNA, 404 nt
Filed under: Verrucomicrobiota bacterium
Lineage: Bacteria; Pseudomonadati; Verrucomicrobiota
Description: Verrucomicrobia bacterium partial 16S ribosomal RNA
Rfam family: Bacterial small subunit ribosomal RNA
Source: RNAcentral
UGGGGAAUAUUGGACAAUGGGCGCAAGCCUGAUCCAGCCAUGCCGCGUGAGUGAUGAAGGCCCUAGGGUUGUAAAGCUCUUUCACCGGUGAAGAUAAUGACGGUAACCGGAGAAGAAGCCCCGGCUAACUUCGUGCCAGCAGCCGCGGUAAUACGUAUGUUGCGAGCGUUAUCCGGAAUUAUUGGGCUUAAAGGGCAUCUAGGCGGUAAGACAAGUUGAAGGUGAAAACCUGUGGCUCAACCAUAGGCUUGCCUACAAAACUGUUGAACUAGAGUACUGGAAAGGUGGGUGGAACUACACGAGUAGAGGUGAAAUUCGUAGAUAUGUGUAGGAAUGCCGAUGAUGAAGAUAACUCACUGGACAGAAACUGACGCUGAAGUGCGAAAGCUAGGGGAGCAAACAGG